This 18-nucleotide non-coding RNA is filed under the name Arabidopsis thaliana (thale cress). Lineage: Eukaryota; Viridiplantae; Streptophyta; Magnoliopsida; Brassicales; Brassicaceae. The record is from RNAcentral.
GGGUCGGCCGGUCCGCCU